CCCUUGUGGAGGAGGACGCCGAAGGUGGGGCUAAUGACUGGGGUGAAGUCGUAACAAGGUAGCCGUACCGGAAGGUGCGGCUGGAUCACCUCCUAACAGGGAGACAACAAAAUGUUUAAUAUUAUUAUUUUGUCACCUUAGGUCGAUCGGUAUCUCACGUUCUUAAUUUAUUAAGAAUUUCAUUUCCUAAGUUUUUCUAGGUCACACCCAUUAUUUUUCCUGGGCCAUUAGCUCAGGUGGUUAGAGCGCACCCCUGAUAAGGGUGAGGUCCCUGGUUCAAGUCCAGGAUGGCCCAUAUCUCUAUGUUGGGGGUAUAGCUCAGUUGGUAGAGCGCCUGCUUUGCAAGCAGGAUGUCAGCGGUUCGAGUCCGCUUACCUCCACUGAUUACCACCUCUUCCAUAAUUUGUAGAAGGGAAAUGUUUUGAGUUGUGAUCAAAUUCUGAACGAAUCUAGCUUCCUAAUGAAAGCAUUAAGAUGCUGGACUCAUUGAAUUAAUUUCAUUGUUUUCAGAGAACCUUGACAACUGCAUAGAUUAUUUUUUUUAAAGACAAUAAGCAUCUUUAAUGAUGCAGAUUUAUUAUUUGUGCGAAUGCAUUAAUAACAAUUCUAUUAAGCUGAUGCUUCAAUUUUGAAGUUAUUGGUCAAGCUACAAAGGGCUCACGGAGGAUACCUAGGCACACAGAGGCGAU
RNAcentral lists this unclassified non-coding RNA (689 nucleotides) under uncultured Prochlorococcus sp. Its description in RNAcentral is "partial may contain 16S ribosomal RNA, 16S-23S ribosomal RNA intergenic spacer, and 23S ribosomal RNA". The stretch from base 1 to 96 matches the Rfam family "Bacterial small subunit ribosomal RNA", at positions 1438 to 1533 of the family's 1533-position model. The record is from RNAcentral. Lineage: Bacteria; Bacillati; Cyanobacteriota; Cyanophyceae; Synechococcales; Prochlorococcaceae.